GGGGAUGUAAAGGAUUUUGACAGGGCGAUUUGUUCUUCGUUGAUUGCAUGCCGGAGGGUAGUUCUCCGUUAUCAACAGUACAAAAAAAUAAACGCUAAUAACGUUGUAGAUGCUAGAAAUGCUUUUGCAGCUUCCGCUGUAAGAAAAGCAGCCUAAGAAAGUUAGGUGUAGCCACUCUAUAGAUUGAAUUUGCAGGUUUAUAGGGUCAAUUUUGCAAAUACAGUAUAUGUUAUUUAAGGCGGCAUAUAUCAAGAUUCAGUCUUAAAAGUUGUCUGUCUUUAAAACAGACUAUGGUUAAAUCGUAAGGUUUUGAUUUUUCCCUUGGUUUAAUCUAAAAAAUAAAAGUCUAAGCAUGUAGAUAUUACCGGAGUGCCGUUUUGGACGCGGGUUCGACUCCCGCCAUCUCCA
RNAcentral lists this transfer-messenger RNA (408 nucleotides) under chicken gut metagenome. It matches the Rfam family "transfer-messenger RNA". From Rfam's summary of the family: Bacterial tmRNA, also known as 10Sa RNA or SsrA, is named for its dual tRNA and mRNA-like properties. Its role is to liberate the mRNA from a stalled ribosome. The record is from RNAcentral.